This 2926-nucleotide ribosomal RNA is filed under the name Bacillus thuringiensis serovar kurstaki. RNAcentral's name for it is "bacterial LSU rRNA". It matches the Rfam family "Bacterial large subunit ribosomal RNA". Lineage: Bacteria; Bacillati; Bacillota; Bacilli; Caryophanales; Bacillaceae. The record is from RNAcentral.
UUUGGUUAAGUUAGAAAGGGCGCACGGUGGAUGCCUUGACACUAGGAGUCGAUGAAGGACGGGACUAACGCCGAUAUGCUUCGGGGAGCUGUAAGUAAGCUUUGAUCCGAAGAUUUCCGAAUGGGGAAACCCACCAUACGUAAUGGUAUGGUAUCCUUAUCUGAAUACAUAGGGUAAGGAAGACAGACCCAGGGAACUGAAACAUCUAAGUACCUGGAGGAAGAGAAAGCAAAUGCGAUUUCCUGAGUAGCGGCGAGCGAAACGGAACAUAGCCCAAACCAAGAGGCUUGCCUCUUGGGGUUGUAGGACAUUCUAUACGGAGUUACAAAGGAACGAGGUAGACGAAGCGACCUGGAAAGGUCCGUCGUAGAGGGUAACAACCCCGUAGUCGAAACUUCGUUCUCUCUUGAAUGUAUCCUGAGUACGGCGGAACACGUGAAAUUCCGUCGGAAUCUGGGAGGACCAUCUCCCAAGGCUAAAUACUCCCUAGUGAUCGAUAGUGAACCAGUACCGUGAGGGAAAGGUGAAAAGCACCCCGGAAGGGGAGUGAAAGAGAUCCUGAAACCGUGUGCCUACAAAUAGUCAGAGCCCGUUAACGGGUGAUGGCGUGCCUUUUGUAGAAUGAACCGGCGAGUUACGAUCCCGUGCGAGGUUAAGCUGAAGAGGCGGAGCCGCAGCGAAAGCGAGUCUGAAUAGGGCGUUUAGUACGUGGUCGUAGACCCGAAACCAGGUGAUCUACCCAUGUCCAGGGUGAAGUUCAGGUAACACUGAAUGGAGGCCCGAACCCACGCACGUUGAAAAGUGCGGGGAUGAGGUGUGGGUAGCGGAGAAAUUCCAAUCGAACCUGGAGAUAGCUGGUUCUCCCCGAAAUAGCUUUAGGGCUAGCCUUAAGUGUAAGAGUCUUGGAGGUAGAGCACUGAUUGGACUAGGGGUCCUCAUCGGAUUACCGAAUUCAGUCAAACUCCGAAUGCCAAUGACUUAUCCUUAGGAGUCAGACUGCGAGUGAUAAGAUCCGUAGUCAAAAGGGAAACAGCCCAGACCGCCAGCUAAGGUCCCAAAGUGUGUAUUAAGUGGAAAAGGAUGUGGAGUUGCUUAGACAACUAGGAUGUUGGCUUAGAAGCAGCCACCAUUUAAAGAGUGCGUAAUAGCUCACUAGUCGAGUGACUCUGCGCCGAAAAUGUACCGGGGCUAAAUACACCACCGAAGCUGCGGAUUGAUACCAAUGGUAUCAGUGGUAGGGGAGCGUUCUAAGGACAGUGAAGUCAGACCGUAAGGACUGGUGGAGUGCUUAGAAGUGAGAAUGCCGGUAUGAGUAGCGAAAGACGGGUGAGAAUCCCGUCCACCGAAUGCCUAAGGUUUCCUGAGGAAGGCUCGUCCGCUCAGGGUUAGUCAGGACCUAAGCCGAGGCCGACAGGCGUAGGCGAUGGACAACAGGUUGAUAUUCCUGUACCACCUCUUUAUCGUUUGAGCAAUGGAGGGACGCAGAAGGAUAGAAGAAGCGUGCGAUUGGUUGUGCACGUCCAAGCAGUUAGGCUGAUAAGUAGGCAAAUCCGCUUAUCGGAGCUGAGCUGUGAUGGGGAAGCUCCUUAUGGAGCGAAGUCUUUGAUUCCCCGCUGCCAAGAAAAGCUUCUAGCGAGAUAAAAGGUGCCUGUACCGCAAACCGACACAGGUAGGCGAGGAGAGAAUCCUAAGGUGUGCGAGAGAACUCUGGUUAAGGAACUCGGCAAAAUGACCCCGUAACUUCGGGAGAAGGGGUGCUUUCUUAACGGAAAGCCGCAGUGAAUAGGCCCAAGCGACUGUUUAGCAAAAACACAGCUCUCUGCGAAGCCGUAAGGCGAAGUAUAGGGGGUGACACCUGCCCGGUGCUGGAAGGUUAAGGAGAGGGGUUAGCGUAAGCGAAGCUCUGAACUGAAGCCCCAGUAAACGGCGGCCGUAACUAUAACGGUCCUAAGGUAGCGAAAUUCCUUGUCGGGUAAGUUCCGACCCGCACGAAAGGUGUAACGAUUUGGGCACUGUCUCAACCAGAGACUCGGUGAAAUUAUAGUACCUGUGAAGAUGCAGGUUACCCGCGACAGGACGGAAAGACCCCGUGGAGCUUUACUGUAGCCUGAUAUUGAAUUUUGGUACAGUUUGUACAGGAUAGGCGGGAGCCAUUGAAACCGGAGCGCUAGCUUCGGUGGAGGCGCUGGUGGGAUACCGCCCUGACUGUAUUGAAAUUCUAACCUACGGGUCUUAUCGACCCGGGAGACAGUGUCAGGUGGGCAGUUUGACUGGGGCGGUCGCCUCCUAAAGUGUAACGGAGGCGCCCAAAGGUUCCCUCAGAAUGGUUGGAAAUCAUUCGUAGAGUGCAAAGGCAUAAGGGAGCUUGACUGCGAGACCUACAAGUCGAGCAGGGACGAAAGUCGGGCUUAGUGAUCCGGUGGUUCCGCAUGGAAGGGCCAUCGCUCAACGGAUAAAAGCUACCCCGGGGAUAACAGGCUUAUCUCCCCCAAGAGUCCACAUCGACGGGGAGGUUUGGCACCUCGAUGUCGGCUCAUCGCAUCCUGGGGCUGUAGUCGGUCCCAAGGGUUGGGCUGUUCGCCCAUUAAAGCGGUACGCGAGCUGGGUUCAGAACGUCGUGAGACAGUUCGGUCCCUAUCCGUCGUGGGCGUAGGAAAUUUGAGAGGAGCUGUCCUUAGUACGAGAGGACCGGGAUGGACGCACCGCUGGUGUACCAGUUGUUCUGCCAAGGGCAUAGCUGGGUAGCUAUGUGCGGAAGGGAUAAGUGCUGAAAGCAUCUAAGCAUGAAGCCCCCCUCAAGAUGAGAUUUCCCAUAGCGUAAGCUAGUAAGAUCCCUGAAAGAUGAUCAGGUUGAUAGGUUCGAGGUGGAAGCAUGGUGACAUGUGGAGCUGACGAAUACUAAUAGAUCGAGGACUUAACCAUAUAA